This is a long non-coding RNA of Octodon degus (degu), 634 nucleotides long. RefSeq lists it as uncharacterized. The record is from RefSeq and is a predicted model, not a curated record. The transcript has 3 exons. Lineage: Eukaryota; Metazoa; Chordata; Mammalia; Rodentia; Octodontidae.
GGGCCCAACUCAGGCCAGGCCCAGGCUGUGAGGGGGCCUAGAGGACACCAAACAGCGCAAAGGCCUCAGGUGGGCACGUAAGACAUAGCACAAUGGAGCAGCCAGAUGGGGCAGCGUGAGGCUGAGGACUGAAAUAAAUGCAACUGAACAAGGAAAUUAGCAUGGACUGAACCUGGAGAGGAAGAGCUUCCAGGCUGGAGUGGGCUUGCUGAGUGGGGUGCUGUCACUGCGGGACAGGUGCGUCCGGCUUGGAGCCCACGGCCACGCCCCUCCACCCCAGAGGCCUGCGCAGAGCCCAGGGUCGCCUUUCCUCUCCCUUUCAGCAAGAGGAAAUCAAGAAUGUGGGCGGAGCCGGGCCUGGUCCUGCAUGGCUCACUGGGGUCUCUCUGCACUGUCCUCCCUAGAUUUUGGAAGCACCAAGGGGAAUGUGGCCUGAAUUUAAACACUCAGGGCCGCGCCCACGAACAGUGAGCACUUUUGUGGAUUCAUGCUGCCCUCCUGCCUUCCUCGCCGUGGCCUUGAAUGCUGCGUUGUGUGCGGACAAUCCGCUUGUUGUGCUCCCGAGCAGGCUGAGCCCCGCGCUCCCGCUGCCUCUUAUAGGAGCAAACAAAAGCCGUUUUCUUCGUUCUGAGCA